AACGCAUCUUGCGCCCUUUGGUAUUCCGAAGGGCAUGCCUGUUUGAGUGUCAUGAAAUCUCAACUACCAGGGUUUCCUGGUAAGCUUGGAUUUGGGUGUCUGCCUUGCAUAGAGGCUCAUCUUAAAAGUGUUAGCGUGUCCGAUCAGUGAUAUUGUCUGGCGUAAUAAGUUUCGCUGGGCUAGCUGAGAAGCGUGCUUCUAAUCUGUCUUUUGGGACAACUUUUCUUGACUUUUGACCUCAAAUCAGGUAGGGCUACCCGCUGAACUUAA
This 270-nucleotide unclassified non-coding RNA is filed under the name uncultured Tremellomycetes. RNAcentral's name for it is "sequence contains 5.8S rRNA gene, ITS2, 28S rRNA gene". The stretch from base 1 to 52 matches the Rfam family "5.8S ribosomal RNA", at positions 103 to 154 of the family's 154-position model. The record is from RNAcentral. Lineage: Eukaryota; Fungi; Basidiomycota; Tremellomycetes.